AGAAAACCGAGUGUCCGAAGCAACUUUUCGCCGCCUUGAAUACUGCAGCAUGGAAUAACAAUAUAGGAUUUCGGUUCUAUUAUUUUGUUGGUUCCUUCUGUAGGACUGAAAUAAUGAUUAAUAGGGACAGUCGGGGGCAUUCGUAAAGU
Molecule: ribosomal RNA, 149 nt
Filed under: Sarcocystis moulei
Lineage: Eukaryota; Apicomplexa; Conoidasida; Eucoccidiorida; Sarcocystidae
Description: partial small subunit ribosomal RNA
Source: RNAcentral